This 91-nucleotide transfer RNA is filed under the name Erythrobacter sp. RNAcentral's name for it is "tRNA-Ser". It matches the Rfam family "tRNA". Rfam says of the family: Transfer RNA (tRNA) molecules are approximately 80 nucleotides in length. Their secondary structure includes four short double-helical elements and three loops (D, anti-codon, and T loops). The record is from RNAcentral. RNAcentral also lists the same sequence under 2 other names. Lineage: Bacteria; Pseudomonadati; Pseudomonadota; Alphaproteobacteria; Sphingomonadales; Erythrobacteraceae.
GGAGACGUGGGUGAGUGGCUGAAACCAGUUCCCUGCUAAGGAACCGUACUCUACUAGGGUACCGAGGGUUCGAAUCCCUCCGUCUCCGCCA